Molecule: small RNA, 46 nt
Filed under: Vibrio cholerae O1 biovar El Tor str. N16961
Lineage: Bacteria; Pseudomonadati; Pseudomonadota; Gammaproteobacteria; Vibrionales; Vibrionaceae
Source: RNAcentral
AUGGAUACACGGUCAGUGUGCCAACAACUAAGAGAAUCGGUUUCGA